This is a long non-coding RNA of Gallus gallus (chicken), 3604 nucleotides long. RefSeq lists it as uncharacterized. The record is from RefSeq and is a predicted model, not a curated record. NCBI's taxonomy places the organism in Eukaryota, Metazoa, Chordata, Aves, Galliformes, Phasianidae. The transcript has 7 exons.
CCUUUGUGGAGACCAAGUAAAUAGCUUAAAAUCUGAAAACAAAUAAAACCUAUGCACUGAGACCUCAGUUUCCACUUCCAACAUGCUGCCAGCAUCUCCUGCAGCUUGCCCUGCUCCAUGAGGCUCUCUGGACAUGAACAAGCAUGGAUCUCUGUAAAUAGCUGCUUAAGAGUGGUAUGAGGAGGUGCCUUCAUUCCUGUGGUAAUUCUUCAGUGAAACUGGAACAUCUGCUGCUUCUGCCUCUGUUGGUCAUCCUGUUGGGCUGUGGAUCUCAAUAGAUGUUUACUUGGCAUUAAGAGAGGCAGAACUGCCCUCCAUGAUAAAUGCGAUUUAAAAAAAGGACAAACGUGCAUGUACACAUGAAGCACUAUGGAUAUGAUUUUAAAAUACUUUCUCCUAGAAACAGCUUGAUGCAUCCAUUACAUUUUCUGUUUAAGCUGUCCACUGAGAUGACUUCAUCAUGCCAGAUGGAAUGGACAGUUAUUCAUGUAGGUGUUUUUUGUGAGGUCUAGAGCAGUUCAAGAUGUCGUGGGCUGCUGACAGAUCUACAGGCUCAGAAUCACAGCCAAUUUGUUUAUACAGUGGUCAGUGCACCUUUUUGAACAUCUGUCAUCCAACAACAGCUUGGAGAAACGGGGCAAUAUGAUCAAAGUCAGACCACUUGCAGUCAUCAAAGAAGACCAUUGUGCAGUUAUGUGCGUUAACAAAGCUUUGUCUUACAUAAGAAUGGAGGGACACACUGAGUUCACUCAGGAAUGAUUACUGCAAGGGAGAGUGACUUGACUCAUUGUAGACUUUUCUCACGGUUCAGAUUAUUCUUCACCUUUGGAGAGAGAAAGCAGGAAUUCUGGGAAGAAGUUGGGACCACAAACUUGGGUAUAUCCACAAAUUUGAAUAUAUAUGCAUAUAUACAUUUCUUACAUUUAUAUGUCUCUAAAAAUUGGCUUUGAAGACAGAAAUAAGAGAGCAAAGUCAUCAGGAGAGAAAAGAGUGACUGAAGCCUGAAUUCUGCCCCAUCUUUCACCCUUUUACACUGACUACUGAGAAAACUGAAGAAAUCUAUCACAGGCAUUGUCAAAUCAUGCUUUAAACAAGGAAUGCUCUCGGUCAUAUCCAGAGGUCUAACCCAACCUUCUUGUUUUGUUUUGUUUUCAUAUGAUUAUAAUGGUUACUACUUCUUUGAAUAUGCUAGCUACAUGGGAAGUUACAUACCUGAGAUGAAGUAUUCAGUUUCAUGUGAGUUUCUACUGGACCUCACCUGCUACAUCCACACCAAACACAGUAUUUCUGACAGCCUUUAGAAGAGAGGUUGAGACUUUGUAUUUAGUAGAUCCUUUUUAAUUCUGAGCUGACCCUAAAUUUCAUGCUCACCUUCAGACUACAGGAAGAAAGACUCCUGCUAGGUAUGAGCUCCAAGAGCUAACACUGAAGUUGGCUCUGAGUUUAAAGUUGACCCUCACUUGUGAAGCAAUUUAUAUCAGAAAAUCUCUGUGAUUUCCCUUUAAACCUAACUAUUCUGCAAUUCCAGAAUAUGAUUAGAAGUUCAGUUUUAAGUUGCUCAGGCUGAUGGAACUCAAGUGCACCUGGGCUAUAAAAGGUCAAGAAAGGUAAGAAAGGCAAGCGUGCUGGCUUAAACUUGUCAUGCAGGGAUGCACACCUCCAAAAAGUAUUUCAGGGACUGUGUUCUGGAACCAAUAAUUGAGUGGGGGCAUAUUUUAGAAAGAAUAAAAUUAGUUAUAUACUUUUCUGGUAGUUUCCAGACUAGCAAAGUGAAGGUUUGUGAGAACUGUAAUAAUUAGUAGACCCAGGCUUUUAAUGGAUAAACACUUUUUCCUUACACGUUUCUGCUAAUCCUUUUUGGUUACUUGACAUUUUGUAAUCUUGUCAGUUCUCUGUUUUCUAACCACAAAUUAGGCAAAUUCAUGUCAAUUAAAGCUUGUUUUGCAUUUUUUUGUUGUUGUUGUUAGAAGUUAACCAUUAUUUUUAAUGUGUCCAAAGUGCUAAUUAUACAUGGAAUGUUCAGAUCCAUUGUUUACCAACUACUGCAAUCUGUCCUCUAGCAAGGAAAGUUUCUGCAGGAGCUGCCAAAUAGACAUAUUUUAGCUAGGAAACAUGGUAUAUGGUCUUCAUCCUUGCAGAUUAAAUUUUGCCGUGAUUUGUGGACUACUGAUCACUCUGGUCAGUGGAUAUGAGUUGCCUCUGGAUGGGAGCUUGGUCUCAUGAUACUAUUAAAUAAGAAAAAGAAAAGCUGUACCACAAAACUCAGGGUUGUUUUUAGGCUCACAACAGCAAAGAUUAACUAACAACAUAGGAGCCAAUAGAAACUGAUACAAUAAGGCUGGUGCUGAGUUUUUUUUUUUUUUUUUUUUUUUUUUUUCCAUUGCCAUUACUAUACGAAUUUAAAGAAAAUGAUAAUAAACACCACAAAAGGAACCUACAACAAACCAGCAGGGAAGAAUAGUAAAAUGUUCCUCAUAGAUCUGUCUGAGGAGCAAGACUGGAUUGGUACUGUUACAACUUAAAAUUUUACUGAAGAUUUUAUAGCUAUAAUUUUUAUGUAGAGGAGGAGAAGUAGUAAGUAAAUUGGACAUGUUACAUGAAGAACAACAUUGACCUCUGAUCAUAAGUUUAGGAAGGGUCAUUUUAAAGGUGAUCUACUGCCAGUGGAGAGAACUUAUUGCUCAUAAGCUCUUCUUCACCCGUGAUAAAAAUUUGUUUAGCAACAGUAUCUGUUUUCCUUUUUAAAUUGCUCGGAACAGUAGUGAACUCCGGACUAUCUAGAAGAGUCCUAUGACUGAAGCAGACUCCUCUGUCUAGUAACUUGCUGAGGUCCUGCAGGGAGACAGACAUCAAAGAAGUAUCUGUUAUAAUGAGAGAAUCAGGUUAAUCUGAUUCAAACACCUGUUCUGCAUGAUGAAAACCUUCCUAUACAAUAUAGUUGCAUUUCCCUAGCUAUUUUUCUAGGCACCUUAUUUUUCACCAACUCUCAGUGCUGAUUCUCAUCAUUUUUCUUUCUGUUUCCUUGAUCUCUCCUGUCCUCAUUCAUUAUCACUGGAAAUGUGACACCCACCUUCAGAAAGGGCCAGAAAGAUGAUCCUGAUAGCUACAGACAUAUCAGUCUCACCUCGGUGUAGGGGAAGGUUAUGGAAUGGGAGCCAUCAUGGAUCAGCUAAACAUCAACCAGGGAACCAGGUCCAAUCAGCAUGGGUUUAUGAAUGGUAGAUACUGCUUAUGUUUUUGACAAACCUGAUUUUGUUCUAUGACAUAGUGACCCAUUUAGUGGUUGAAGGUAAGGCUGUCAGUGUGGUCUACCUGGACUUCAGUGAAGUCUUUGACACUGUCCCCCACAGCAUCCUCAUGGAGAAGCCAACUGCCCAUGGUUAGGAUGGGUGUACACUCCGCUGGUCGAAACACUGUCUGGAUGGCCGGGCCCAAAGAGCUGUGGUCAGUGGAGUUAAAUCCAGCUGGCAGCCAGUCACAAGUAGUAUCCCCCAUGGCUCAGUACUCGGGCUGCUUCUAUUUAACAUCUUUAUUAAUGAUCUUGAUGAGAGGAUUGAGUGUACCCUCCGUAAGUUUGCAGAUGACACCAAGUUGGGAGGGAGUG